CCUACGGGAGGCUGCAGUGGGGAAUCUUGGACAAUGGGCGCAAGCCUGAUCCAGCCAUGCCGCGUGAGUGAAGAAGGCCUUAGGGUUGUAAAGCUCUUUUACCAGGGACGAUAAUGACGGUACCUGGAGAAUAAGCCCCGGCAAACUUCGUGCCAGCAGCCGCGGUAUACGAAGGGGGCUAGCGUUGUUCGGAAUUACUGGGCGUAAAGCGCGUGUAGGCGGGCUGGUAAGUUGGGNGUGAAAUCCCGAGGCUCAACCUCGGAACUGCCUCCAAAACUGUCAGCCUGGACCCAAGUAGAGGCAAGUGGAAUUGCGAGUGUAGAGGUGACAUUCGUAGAUAUUCGCAGGAACACCAGUGGCGAAGGCGACUUGCUGGACUUGUGGUGACGCUGAGACGCGAAAGCGUGGGGAGCAAACAGGAUUAGAUACCCUAGUANUC
This 439-nucleotide ribosomal RNA is filed under the name uncultured bacterium. RNAcentral's name for it is "bacterial SSU rRNA". It matches the Rfam family "Bacterial small subunit ribosomal RNA", at positions 338 to 795 of the family's 1533-position model. The record is from RNAcentral.